GGCUGAUCUGAGUGCAGCCAUGUUUACAACUAAUUGAUCUCCACCAGUUACAGAUUUCUUUGUUCUUUCUCUACUCUUACUGCUUUACUUGACUAGCCUAAC
Unclassified non-coding RNA from Prolemur simus (greater bamboo lemur), 102 nucleotides. It matches the Rfam family "Y RNA". Rfam says of the family: Y RNAs are components of the Ro ribonucleoprotein particle (Ro RNP), in association with Ro60 and La proteins. The Y RNAs and Ro60 and La proteins are well conserved, but the function of the Ro RNP is not known. The record is from Ensembl. NCBI's taxonomy places the organism in Eukaryota, Metazoa, Chordata, Mammalia, Primates, Lemuridae.